Long non-coding RNA from Lutra lutra (Eurasian river otter), 1016 nucleotides. RefSeq lists it as uncharacterized. The transcript has 2 exons. The record is from RefSeq and is a predicted model, not a curated record. NCBI's taxonomy places the organism in Eukaryota, Metazoa, Chordata, Mammalia, Carnivora, Mustelidae.
GCUGAAGCUCCCAGUCACUUUGGAAAUUCAAUGGUUCUGAGAUAGGGCCCGGCCUCUAUGAGUUGGCUUUGGUUUUGUAAAGGUCCUCCAGAUAAUUCUAAUGCAGUUCAUGGAAACAUGGCUUUCAGGGCCUAGCCCUCAAGUGAUAACAUCUGUGAUCUGGGGCCAAAUUAGUGUGAGCCCUUUGGCAAGUCACUUCCCUUCUGGGGGCCUCUGGUCUCAUCUCUGUACCGAGAGCAUUGCUCUGUGUCUCAUCUCUAAAAGGUAAACUCCACUCUGGCAGUCUUGUGCUGGGGGGAGGCAAAGACAGAAAGGCUUGGUGUUGCCUCUGGGCACUGCCAGCAGCCUCUGAUGGCACAGGGGGAAGUAUUAAGGUGCAGCAGGGCAAGGAGAAUUGAGUGAAUAAAGGACGGUGCCCCACACCCUAAGAGCUGUGGAAGGAAGAGGGGGAAAUGGAAAAUUCGAGGCUGGAGUAGCCUGAAAUUCCUCCCAGGUGGAACUCGAUUUCCAGAAUGGUAGGAUUUGGGUCUUAGGUGCAAAGGGCAAUGGAUCUCAGGUAGGAGGUGGAAAGAAGCAAAGGUGUGGAAACCCGGAGAGGUGUGGUAAUCUCAGGGAAGGGAGGGGAUCCCUCCAGAUGAAGCACCAGAGGUCAGCGUGGGAAGUGGAGCCAUUACCGAAACUCCGUGGGGAGCACAGAUUUUAUCCUGGGGGCAACGGAGAGCCAUUGAAGGCUUUGGAUCCACACACGCCACUGGGACUUCCAGGAGCGGGGAUGCUGCCGGGUUGCAGGCAGGGAUCCAUGCAGAGAAGUGGGGAGCAGUGUGAGGCCACAGUUCUGCUGCGGGAACAUCCCUGCCUGUGCUGACGCCAUGGAAAGCCUCCCCUUGUUGCAGGGUUCCUGUUUUGCGGUUGCCCGUGGUGGGGAGCGAGGGCAGCCGGCUGUUCUUCUGAGAAGCUCCGGGAACUUGGUGGCACUUGGCCAGACCUCCUCUUCGCGUCCUCAGCUCUGUCCUGGG